This 447-nucleotide ribosomal RNA is filed under the name uncultured bacterium. Its description in RNAcentral is "partial 16S ribosomal RNA". It matches the Rfam family "Bacterial small subunit ribosomal RNA", at positions 331 to 794 of the family's 1533-position model. The record is from RNAcentral.
CCAGACUCCUACGGGAGGCGGCAGUGGGGAAUAUUGCACAAUGGGGGAAACCCUGAUGCAGCAACGCCGCGUGAGUGAGGAAGUAUUUCGGUAUGUAAAGCUCUAUCAGCAGGGAAUAGAAAAGAAGGUACCUGAAAAAGAAGCCCCGGCUAACUACGUGCCAGCAGCCGCGGUAAUACGUAGGGGGCAAGCGUUAUCCGGAUUUACUGGGUGUAAAGGGAGCGUAGACGGCAGCGCAAGUCUGAAGUGAAAUGCCGGGGCUUAACCCCGGAACUGCUUUGGAAACUGAGCAGCUAGAGUGCAGGAGAGGUAAGUGGAAUUCCUAGUGUAGCGGUGAAAUGCGUAGAUAUUAGGAGGAACACCAGUGGCGAAGGCGGCCUGCUGGACGACAACUGACGGUGAGGCGCGAAAGCGUGGGGAGCAAACAGGAUUAGAUACCCCCGUACA